This 253-nucleotide ribosomal RNA is filed under the name uncultured bacterium. RNAcentral describes it as "partial 16S ribosomal RNA". It matches the Rfam family "Bacterial small subunit ribosomal RNA", at positions 524 to 776 of the family's 1533-position model. The record is from RNAcentral.
UACGAAGGGGGCUAGCGUUGCUCGGAAUCACUGGGCGUAAAGCGCACGUAGGCGGACUCUUAAGUCAGGGGUGAAAUCCUGGAGCUCAACUCCAGAACUGCCUUUGAUACUGGCGAUCUUGAGUCCGGGAGAGGUGAGUGGAACUGCGAGUGUAGAGGUGAAAUUCGUAGAUAUUCGCAAGAACACCAGUGGCGAAGGCGGCUCACUGGCCCGGUACUGACGCUGAGGUGCGAAAGCGUGGGGAGCAAACAGG